Molecule: long non-coding RNA, 506 nt
Organism: Musa acuminata AAA Group (dessert banana)
Lineage: Eukaryota; Viridiplantae; Streptophyta; Magnoliopsida; Zingiberales; Musaceae
Exons: 3
Source: RefSeq, a predicted model, not a curated record
GCCCUAAAGCGACGGGUUGAAGUUGAUCCGGUCGUUUCGCAUCCGAAGGCGCGACGAGACACUGGAAUCGAGCACGGAAGAGUCGAGCGAAACGCCGGCCACAGCGACGACGGUGGGAGCGCUGCUCGGGCUGCGCACCCAGUUGUACUCCAACGCCCUCCGCAAACUCUCCCUACAUGCGCCAUCCGUGGGAGCACGUGGUGCGUUGGGGCUGGGGCGGUCUUCUUCUUGACAAAGCCAAGGUCGCCAAUGAGCGCAGAUACUUCGGAGGUUUCCACGUUGUGGCAGGGAAAGCUUUAAUGUUUGUGACAGAAAUUUGAAUGGAUCGGCAUUUAUGCGAAGUAUGAUUUUGUUGGGACGAUGGCACAAAUAUCAGGUUUAGAGCAGUAUGCCAAUGUAACUCUUUUGGUGGUUAUACAUUACAAAAACCUUGUGAUUUUCCAAGGACCAGUUGUUUAUUAUUGAUUCUCUAGCAGAAACUAUUAUAUGAUAAUAUUCAUUUUAUA